UGGGUUGUGGCUCAGGGGUGGAGCACUUGCCUACCAUGCAUGGGGCACUGGGUUCAAUCAUCAGCACCAUAU
RNAcentral lists this transfer RNA (72 nucleotides) under Marmota monax (woodchuck). RNAcentral describes it as "tRNA.Gly". The record is from RNAcentral. Lineage: Eukaryota; Metazoa; Chordata; Mammalia; Rodentia; Sciuridae.